This is a non-coding RNA of Oreochromis aureus, 486 nucleotides long. The record is from the annotation of a RefSeq genome assembly. NCBI's taxonomy places the organism in Eukaryota, Metazoa, Chordata, Actinopteri, Cichliformes, Cichlidae.
AUGACUUUGAUCUGCGUCCUCAUCUGGACUCUCCUCUGCUGCUGCUUCACAGAGUCCAGAGGACAGAUCACAGUGACUCAGCCUGGAUCAGUGAGCUCUGCUGUGGGAGGAUCUGUGAACAUCAAGUGUAGGACCAGUCAGGAUGUUCAUGUUUGGAACAACAAUCAGCUUUUAGCCUGGUACCAACAGAGAGAUGGAGGAGUUCCUAAAUUGCUCAUUUACUUUGCUACCACUCGAAAAUCAGGGAUUCCAGCUCGUUUUACAGGCAGUGGAUCAAACUCUGACUUCACUCUGACCAUCAGUGGAGUCCAGGCUGAAGAUGCAGCAGUUUAUUACUGUCAGAGUGCUCAUCUUAUCAACAGUCAGCGUGUGUUCACACAGUGAAAAACAGUCGUACAAAACCUCCCUCAGUCCGACUGAACAGAAACUGAACUGACUGCUGCAGCUGGAAGAUACUGCAGAGACUGAUACAGUUCACUGAGGACA